CCAGACGGCUGGACGGCCGCGGCGUUCUCACGAGCGUCGAGGAAAGUCCGGGCUCCACGGAAACACGGUGCCGGGUAACGCCCGGCGGGGGCGACCCCAGGGACAGUGCCACAGAGAGCAGACCGCCAUGACCUGUCAUGGCAAGGGUGAAAGGGUGCGGUAAGAGCGCACCGCGCGGCUGGUAACAGCGGCGGCAUGGCAAACCCCACCGGGAGCAAGACCAAAUAGGGAUGGCAGCAGGCGCAAGUCUGCAGAACUGUUUCCGGUUCGUCAUCCGGGUCGGUCGCGCGAGGCGUCCAGCGAUGGGCGUCCCAGAGGAAUGGCCGUCCAGCUCAGCAAUGAGUGGACAGAACCCGGCUUACAGGCCGUCUGGCACC
This 377-nucleotide RNase P RNA is filed under the name Alphaproteobacteria bacterium. RNAcentral's name for it is "RNase P RNA component class A". It matches the Rfam family "Bacterial RNase P class A". Rfam says of the family: Ribonuclease P (RNase P) is a ubiquitous endoribonuclease, found in archaea, bacteria and eukarya as well as chloroplasts and mitochondria. Its best characterised activity is the generation of mature 5'-ends of tRNAs by cleaving the 5'-leader elements of precursor-tRNAs. Lineage: Bacteria; Pseudomonadati; Pseudomonadota; Alphaproteobacteria. The record is from RNAcentral.